CCGCUCCUGCCGAUCAGCCAACCAGGACACUCCAUCAAUCAGCGCACCUCCUCCCUCGCACACUACUUAAACCCUCCAGAAGCCCCAGUUCUUUGCCUGGUAUGGGUUGUUUGUCUGUUCACCUACCUUACCUUAGAUUCUGCUUGCUCUUUGUUACUAAUCACGGAACUCACCUUCGACUGUGACUUCAGCCUUGCCCUGUUCAGGAUUGGAAACCUUCUCUCCUGCCUCUUUCUACGAACCUUGGAACUCGACUCGGACUUCACCUCUCAUCUAGCCCCCUAAGUCGAUUAGUAUGCUGCUGUUACGGAGCUGUUCAUUCCUUCACUCAUGAGAGGGAUAAACUUGACAUCCCUGAUGAACCUGAUCAGACUCCUCAGCAAGAACCAGAGAGCCUGAUGGAUUAACAGAGACGUGGUUCCCGAGUCACUGUCGAGCGCCCUGGGUUUCAGCAGAGAGCAAAACAAACAGUCAGGAAACGAGCGCAGUUCUGAAGCUCGUCGGGCUCUGGGGACCUGGACACUCCACUGCUGUGACUGCAGUGCUUGUGGUGCCCUGUCAGUCCUCAUCCAGCUGGAGUCCAUAACUGCUGGGAAGAGCAUCCCAGGGAAUGGGACACUUUAGGAGGCUGCACUUGCCCCGACGGAGCUGCGUCUGUCUGAGCACCCCUCUCCAGCCUCUCCGGUCUUGAGCAGGAGUGGUCGAGGAAUGCGAGCUGGAUCGGUUCACAGAGACGGAUACUAGACUCAGACCUGCUUCACCAGAUACAGUAAGGGUGUCACCAUGCUGGGAGCGACUUGCAUCCUGAUUGUUAAUCAUGCGUUAUGAAGAUAGACUUUCCAAGGUAACUUGUUUGGAGCACAACAGAAAAACACAUGGAGAAUUUCUCUAGUGCUCAAUUACCACCCCACCCACAGAAACAUGUGCAGAGCAGCUUUGAACACCUACAGUAUAGCAAGAUCCAUCGACAGCUCCCAUUUUAAAACUCCACCUCUAGUUUAACGUAGGAGACAAGAAGCUUAAGGAAUACUAGGUCCCGAGUAAGGUUUGUCCAUCAGGGAAGUGAUUGCACAUUAAUUUUCAUUGUGACUCACCACCUGCACAAGAAUGAAUCUCUGCACAGAGA
This is a long non-coding RNA of Lepisosteus oculatus (spotted gar), 1126 nucleotides long. RefSeq lists it as uncharacterized. NCBI's taxonomy places the organism in Eukaryota, Metazoa, Chordata, Actinopteri, Semionotiformes, Lepisosteidae. The record is from RefSeq and is a predicted model, not a curated record.